Molecule: ribosomal RNA, 231 nt
Filed under: uncultured bacterium
Lineage: Bacteria
Description: partial 16S ribosomal RNA
Rfam family: Bacterial small subunit ribosomal RNA
Source: RNAcentral
UGAGCAACCUGCCCCUGGCUCUGGGAUAACUCCGGGAAACCGGAGCUAAUACCGGAUACGAGACCGAUUGGCAUCUUUACGGUCUGGAAAGUUUUUCGGCAAGGGAUGGGGUCGCGGCCUAUCAGCUUGUUGGUGGGGUAAUGGCCCACCAAGGCGACGACGGGUAGCCGGCCUGAGAGGGCGACCGGCCACACUGGGACUGAGACACGGCCCAGACUCCUACGGGAGGCA